AACGAACGCUGGCGGCAUGCUUAACACAUGCAAGUCGAACGAGAACUUCGGGCCUUGUGGCGCACGUGUGCGUACCGAGUGGUAACUUGCACUUAGGUUAGCUAUACUUCCCUGUAGGGGGUGUUAAUACAGGUUAAUGUCAUAGGACCAAAGAUCUAUUGCUUUUGGAUGGGCGUGGGUUAGAUUAGCGAGUUGGUAGUGUACAAGCCUCCCAAGGCGAUGAUCCAUGGCUGGUCUGUGAAGAGGAUCAGCCCCACUGGAGCUGAGACACGGCCCAGACUCCUACGGGAGGCAGCAGUAGAGAAUAUUAGACAAUGAGCGAAAGCCUAGUACAGCAAUGCCGCGUAAGUGAGGAAGGCCUUAGUAUUGUAAAGCUCUUUUUGCCGAGAUGAGAGUGACAGUACCGGGAGAAUAAGCACCGGCUAACUCCGUG
Molecule: ribosomal RNA, 433 nt
Filed under: uncultured bacterium
Lineage: Bacteria
Description: partial 16S ribosomal RNA
Rfam family: Bacterial small subunit ribosomal RNA
Source: RNAcentral